AACGAACGCUGGCGGCAGGCUUAACACAUGCAAGUCGAACGCCCCGCAAGGGGAGUGGCAGACGGGUGAGUAACGCGUGGGGACAUACCCUUUUCUACGGAAUAGCCCUGGGAAACUGGAAUUAAUACCGUAUACGCCCUACGGGGGGAAGAGUUAUCGGGGAAGGAUUGGGGCGCGUUGGAUUAGCUAGUUGGUGGGGUAAACGCCUACCAAGGCGACGAUCCAUAGCUGGUCUGAGUGGAGGAUCAGCUACAUUGGGACUGGGACACGGCCCAAACUCCUACGGGAGGCAGCGGUGGGGAGUAUAGGACAAUGGGCGCAAGCCUAAUCCAGCCAUGCCGCGUGAGUGAGGAAGGCCGUAGGGUUGUAAAGCUCUUUCACCGAUGAAGAUAAUGACGGUAGUCGGAGAAGAAGCCCCGGCUAACUUCGUG
This 431-nucleotide ribosomal RNA is filed under the name uncultured bacterium. RNAcentral describes it as "partial 16S ribosomal RNA". It matches the Rfam family "Bacterial small subunit ribosomal RNA", at positions 29 to 507 of the family's 1533-position model. The record is from RNAcentral.